CUCCAGACCCGGGGUGCGCGGGGAAAACUGAGAGCCGGACCCAAGACACCACGCGGCAUCACCUCCGACAUAACCUCGGUCACAACAUGGCAUACAUUCCCACACCAUUUCGCAUCACGACUCAGAACUGCAGAGGCCUAAAUACAGCCGAAAGACGCUCUCAUCUCCUACGAGAACUUGCGCGAGAGCAGGUCUCUAUUGCCAUGUUACAGGAAACACAUCUUAAACCUACGGACACACACAGACUGAAGAGCAGACACUUCCCAGACAACUAUCACAG
Non-coding RNA from Pelobates cultripes (western spadefoot toad), 280 nucleotides. NCBI's taxonomy places the organism in Eukaryota, Metazoa, Chordata, Amphibia, Anura, Pelobatidae. The record is from the annotation of a GenBank genome assembly.